Molecule: long non-coding RNA, 772 nt
Organism: Papaver somniferum (opium poppy)
Lineage: Eukaryota; Viridiplantae; Streptophyta; Magnoliopsida; Ranunculales; Papaveraceae
Exons: 2
Source: RefSeq, a predicted model, not a curated record
UGUAGCUGUCAUUUGAAAGCUUACAAGUAUACUAGGUUUGUAGUCGAAUGUCUGGUGGGUGAGAAGAAAAAUCUAAGAACAAGAUUUAUGAUCAAGGUUUGUCUACCCAUUGUAUUCGUGAUCAAGAGACAAAAAUACCUAACAAAGGUGGUAGAGGUAGAAAGAACUUGGAAGAAAUUUUUUUCACGAUGAUGGUGAGCUUUAUUAAUCAUCCUAAUUCUUUUUUUUUUUGUUUGUUGUUGUUCUUGAAGACAUGAAAAAGAACGGUGAUACAGGGCAACCAGGAAUCAAAUUUUCAUAGUCUGUUGCUCAUAGUUCAUAUGAGCAAAAGAAUUCAGGUAAAUACCCCCAACAUUGGGCACAGCGACACCAGCACACGUUGAAGUUUCAAAGGAUGGAUCCAUAUGUAGUUACUCAUAGGCAUGUGCUUUUAGAUAUUUUUAAGCUCAUGUCUAAACCAAAUGCAGACGAAAUUCCGAGAUCGAAUUCCACUUCAUUUUCAUGUGGGAAAUAAGAGAAUGUAUUAUCCAACCAUGUUAUUGUCGGCAGCUAUCUCUGUGAAGCAUCUCAUCAUUUCAAGAUGGCAUGAUAAUUAGUCCCAUCUGCUCCAAUUAGCCCCUAAAAUUUGUUCAAGUAUGAUUAGAGAUAGGUGCCAAACCCAUGGGGGAGAACUAUAACCUUAUUUAUUUAUUUUUCCAUUUUCAACUACGCUAACGUUAAGUUCUUCCAGCAAGUUGUUUUAUAUUGUGUUUACUGAAGACCUAAUAUAUCA